This 519-nucleotide ribosomal RNA is filed under the name uncultured bacterium. RNAcentral describes it as "partial 16S ribosomal RNA". It matches the Rfam family "Bacterial small subunit ribosomal RNA", at positions 28 to 507 of the family's 1533-position model. The record is from RNAcentral.
GACGAACGCUGGCGGCGUGCCUAAUACAUGCAAGUCGAGCGAGCUUGCCUAGAUGAAUUUGGUUCUUGCACCAGAUGAAACUAGAUACAAGCGAGCGGCGGACGGGUGAGUAACACGUGGGUAACCUGCCCAAGAAACUGGGUUAACACCUGGAAACAGUUGCUAUUACCGGUUAACAACACUAGCCCCUUGUUUAGGGUUUAAAAGAUGGUUCUCUUUUCCUUCUUGGUUGGACUUGCGGUGCAUUAGCUAGUUGGUAAGGCAACGGCUUACCAAGGCAAUGAUGCAUAGCCGAGUUGAGAGACUGAUCGGCCACAUUGGGACUGAGACACGGCCCAAACUCCUACGGGAGGCAGCAGUAGGGAAUCUUCCACAAUGGACGCAAGUCUGAUGGAGCAACGCCGCGUGAGUGAAGAAGGGUUUCGGCUCGUAAAGCUCUGUUGGUAGUGAAGAAAGAUAGAGGUAGUAACUGGCCUUUAUUUGACGGUAAUUACUUAGAAAGUCACGGCUAACUACGUG